AUUUCCCGAGGCUUUGAUUCCUGUUCAGCUGCUCUGGGUCAAUCUGGUGACAGAUGGCCUGCCUGCCACUGCACUGGGGUUCAACCCUCCUGAUCUGGACAUCAUGAAUAAACCUCCCCGGAACCCAAAGGAACCAUUGAUCAGCGGGUGGCUCUUUUUCCGUUACUUGGCUAUUGGCUGUUACGUCGGCGCUGCUACCGUGGGUGCUGCUGCAUGGUGGUUCAUUGCUGCUGACGGUGGUCCAAGAGUGUCCUUCUACCAGCUGGUACUCAGUCACCUUUCUUUCUGUACCUUACAUGAGAAGUGUUGUGAGGCCUUGACCUUUCUGUGGUUUCGGUAUCUAUCAAAUCAUCUUAAGACUCAAACGAUAAACAGUUACAUCUAAGAUGAUUCUGAAGGACCAGGGCUUCUCCGAGAAAUUGGGGUAAACCUCUUGGCUGGCUCUGCAUUCAGGCUGGUCUGUGCUAGGCUUGGUAUGGGGUUGGAGCCUGGACUUGGGAAAUAUACUGGGCUGAUAGGAAUUUGAUUGGAUUUUCUUGCA
RNAcentral lists this small RNA (541 nucleotides) under Pan troglodytes (chimpanzee). RNAcentral describes it as "retained intron". The record is from RNAcentral. Lineage: Eukaryota; Metazoa; Chordata; Mammalia; Primates; Hominidae.